UAUUCCCAAGACCCAGAACCAUGACUGGCAUAUAGUAGAUAGCUUAACAGAUGUUUGUGAACUAGGUGAAUGAGUGAGUGCCCCAGCUCACCUCACUUGGUAGUGGCAAGAUGUGGCUUCCUACACAGGCCUAGGUUUGCAGUCGGCAGAGCUAUCUACAGGGUUGGCAGGAGACCCCUGAAAAGAAACCAGAGAAGCUUGCUGACAAAAGACUGGAAUUCUGGGCUCAGCCGCCUCCAGGACCGAGGGGCCCAUUGGGCAAUCUAUCACGGAGCACACCUGGCCUGCCCAAAGGACACAGCAG
This is a long non-coding RNA of Pongo pygmaeus (Bornean orangutan), 304 nucleotides long. RefSeq lists it as uncharacterized. Lineage: Eukaryota; Metazoa; Chordata; Mammalia; Primates; Hominidae. The record is from RefSeq and is a predicted model, not a curated record. The transcript is spliced from 3 exons.